CUUAAAUAAGAAGACUACAAUUAGUUAACAUGCCCUGUUAUACAAAGCUUCAAAUCUCAAGUGAAAUAUGAAAAGUGAACACAAGAGCAGGUGCUGCAGCUGGCUGGCAUUAAAGAAAAGGUUUCAUUGCUGUCACAUAUUUGAAGCACAAGAAGAUGGGAGUGUCUACGAUCAACAUCAUAUUAAAAGCCUUUUCAAAGAAAAUAAGUGAUCCCAAACUAUUUGGAUGCUAUCCAGAUUUCUUUGGAAGCACUCUAAUAUGAGAAUAAUUGAAAGCAAAUCUCUCGAUAAAGAUUUAAUUUUUAUCUUUAUUCUGAGAUCAGAAAUUUAUCCUACCACUUUACAGAGCUCAGAAGAAACUCCUGGAUGUGCCUACAAGUGGUGACAAAAGAUUUUUCCUGAAGACACGCUUGGAUAUUGCUUGGUGCAAACGCUGAGUCACCACAGAGGUGUCAGGAUGGAAUUGCACUGAUGUGUCUGAGAAAAUGGGUUUGGGCAGCUGUCUUCUUUAGAUACAGGUACCCAGUUUGUGGUAAAUGGGAGCGGGGCUGGCCCAGCCUCAUCCCCAAUGGGCACAGCU
Molecule: long non-coding RNA, 580 nt
Organism: Zonotrichia albicollis (white-throated sparrow)
Lineage: Eukaryota; Metazoa; Chordata; Aves; Passeriformes; Passerellidae
Source: RefSeq, a predicted model, not a curated record